This 547-nucleotide ribosomal RNA is filed under the name uncultured bacterium. RNAcentral describes it as "bacterial SSU rRNA". It matches the Rfam family "Bacterial small subunit ribosomal RNA", at positions 772 to 1310 of the family's 1533-position model. The record is from RNAcentral.
ACUAAAUAGAUACCCCCGGUAGUCCACGCCGUAAACGAUGAUAACUGGUUGUUGGCGAUAUACAGUCAGCGACUGAGCGAAAAAGCAUUAAGUUAUCCACCUGGGGAGUACGUCGGCAACGAUGAAACUCAAAGGAAUUGACGGGGGCCCGGCACAAGCGGAGGAACAUGUGGUUUAAAUUCGAUGAUACGCGAGGAACCUUACCUGGGCUCGAACGUAGGAGGAAUAUAGGGGAAACCGUUAUAGCUAGCAAUAGCCGCCUACGAGGUGCUGCAUGGUUGUCGUCAGCUCGUGCCGUGAGGUGUCGGCUUAAGUGCCAUAACGAGCGCAACCCUUAUUGUUAGUUGCCAGCGGGUUAAGCCGGGGUACUCUAACAAAACCUGCCAGCGUAAGCUGUGAGGAAGGCGGGGAUGACGUCAAAUCAGCACGGCCCUUACGGUCCAGGGCCACACACGUGUUACAAUGGUUGGUACAGAGGGCAGCUACCCCGGCGAGGGGUAGUGCGAAUCUCUAAAGCCAACUCUCAGUUCGGUAUUGGAGUCUGCAA